UCCACUUGAUGUCCUUUUAUUGUUGUUGACAAUUUCUAUCAAUGUCACCACAGGGGAAAUGAAAUUCUCUCUACAUAGAUACGUUAGUGCGAUCAAUCUUUUCAUCCUCAUUGUAUAUCGCGACUCUCUGAGAAUCGCAAUAUCAAGUUUGGUCGCACCAUUAAGAUCGCGGAGCACUAAACUUAAACUCGUUGUCAUGAUCAUUAUCAAGUUUGUUUGCUGUCUCGUCUUUGUUAGAUUGAAUUAUUUAGUUGUCAUUGUUACAUCAGUGUCAACUUACUCCCUACCUGUAAAUGCCUUCUCUAAUUCGCUUUGUUAAGUUCAUCGAUAUCUUAAAGGGCUCAACUAUUGUAAUUUAUAUUACUCAACUUUCUAAAAUAUAUAUGUUGUUACACCAGUGUCGAAUCCUCUAAAACAUAAGCAUUACUUGUGAAGGUUCCACACAUACAGCCAUCGUGAAAGAUUAGAAAUGACAAUAUACACAAAGAAUUAGAAAUGACAAUAUACACUUUGUAUAAAUUUGCUUAAAAAUAAAGUCACUUGCAAAUCAUGCAACUAAAUAUGACAUGGGGUUUAAUAAUUUACAGUUGUUCAACCAAUUAUUUAAAUCUUUUGGUCUGACGGUGAUAUUUUUCUCUGUUUCAAUUUGUUGGUCUUACUUUCUUUUUUGUCCAUUUCACAAAAUAUGCUUAUUUUGUUUUAGCAAUUUUUUCAUUCUAACUUUUCACGUGACAUGUUUGUGACCAUGAGAUUAAAGAGUAUUUUGAUAUAUUUUACGUAUGAUUAGUUUAGAAUCACAAGAUUUAAAAGUUUUUACUUUCUGAAAUUUCAUGCCAAGUCAAAAUCAGACAAAUAAAUUAAAAUGGAGGGAAUAUUUCUUUAAGGUCUUGGUAUUCCGUUUUAGAUUUAUUUUUUUACCAAGCACUUAAGCUUGUAUAAGUGUUUUGGCAAUUCUCAGUCUUUGGUCUUUGUCUAAACUUUAAUUAUAUUUCCUUUUACUAAAGUCUGUUAAAGUGUUUCUGAAAUUUUUAUAGCCCCUCUUUGCUUUGUCUAAGCUUUAAUAAUACUUUCUUUUACUAAAGUCUAUCUCUAUUCGAAGCUAGCUUGAGUCAGGGGGUUUGAACCUGAAUAAUAUGUAUAAAUUAUAUUAUUUAUACAUAUUGAUUGAAUUUUUUUUUGAUAUAUAAUAAAUGUUGAACCUCUUUUUGAUUAGUUCGUAUAUUCAUUUCUUUAUCUUUUGAAUCCUUUUAAUAAAAAUAGUGACUCUACCACUGCUUUUCUGACCCCUUUUUGUGGGACUAUACUUGACUGAUGUUGUUGUUAACGUCUCUAUUCAUAUUCAUAGUGUUUCUGCAGUUCUU
This 1361-nucleotide long non-coding RNA is filed under the name Capsicum annuum. RNAcentral describes it as "long non-coding RNA (CANN_LNC016616)". Lineage: Eukaryota; Viridiplantae; Streptophyta; Magnoliopsida; Solanales; Solanaceae. The record is from RNAcentral.